UGGGGAAUAUUGCGCAAUGGGGGAAACCCUGACGCAGCGACGCCGCGUGCGGGAUGAAGGCCUUCGGGUUGUAAACCGCUUUUGAUUGGGAGCAAGCCUUUUGGGUGAGAGUACCUUUCGAAUAAGCGCCGGCUAACUACGUGCCAGCAGCCGCGGUAAUACGUAGGGCGCAAGCGUUAUCCGGAAUUAUUGGGCGUAAAGAGCUUGUAGGCGGUUCGUCGCGUCUGGUGUGAAAGCCCAUCGCUUAACGGUGGGUUUGCGCCGGGUACGGGCGGGCUAGAGUGCAGUAGGGGAGACUGGAAUUCCCGGUGUAACGGUGGAAUGUGUAGAUAUCGAGAAGAACACCAAUGGCGAAGGCAGGUCUCUGGGCUGUUACUGACGCUGAGAAGCGAAAGCGUGGGGAGCGAACAGG
Molecule: ribosomal RNA, 412 nt
Filed under: Verrucomicrobiota bacterium
Lineage: Bacteria; Pseudomonadati; Verrucomicrobiota
Description: Verrucomicrobia bacterium partial 16S ribosomal RNA
Rfam family: Bacterial small subunit ribosomal RNA
Source: RNAcentral